UGGGGAAUAUUGCACAAUGGGCGAAAGCCUGAUGCAGCGACGCCGCGUGAGGGAUGACGGCCUUCGGGUUGUAAACCUCUUUCAGCAGGGAAGAAGCGAAAGUGACGGUACCUGCAGAAGAAGCGCCGGCUAACUACGUGCCAGCAGCCGCGGUAAUACGUAGGGCGCAAGCGUUGUCCGGAAUUAUUGGGCGUAAAGAGCUCGUAGGCGGUUAGUCGCGUCUGCUGUGAAAACUCAAGGCUCAACCUCGGGCUUGCAGUGGGUACGGGCUGACUAGAGUGCGGUAGGGGUGACUGGAAUUCCUGGUGUAGCGGUGGAAUGCGCAGAUAUCAGGAGGAACACCGAUGGCGAAGGCAGGUCACUGGGCCGCAAACUGACGCUGAGGAGCGAAAGCAUGGGGAGCGAACAGGAUUAGAUACCCUGGUAGUCCAUGCCGUAAACGUUGGGCACUAGGUGUGGGUCCAUUCCACGGAUUCCGUGCCGCAGCAAACGCAUUAAGUGCCCCCGCCUGGGGAGUACGGCCGCAAGGCUAAAAACUU
This 539-nucleotide ribosomal RNA is filed under the name uncultured bacterium. RNAcentral describes it as "partial 16S ribosomal RNA". It matches the Rfam family "Bacterial small subunit ribosomal RNA", at positions 355 to 902 of the family's 1533-position model. The record is from RNAcentral.